This 2921-nucleotide ribosomal RNA is filed under the name Staphylococcus aureus F26088. RNAcentral's name for it is "bacterial LSU rRNA". It matches the Rfam family "Bacterial large subunit ribosomal RNA". Lineage: Bacteria; Bacillati; Bacillota; Bacilli; Caryophanales; Staphylococcaceae. The record is from RNAcentral.
UUAAGUUAUUAAGGGCGCACGGUGGAUGCCUUGGCACUAGAAGCCGAUGAAGGACGUUACUAACGACGAUAUGCUUUGGGGAGCUGUAAGUAAGCUUUGAUCCAGAGAUUUCCGAAUGGGGAAACCCAGCAUGAGUUAUGUCAUGUUAUCGAUAUGUGAAUACAUAGCAUAUCAGAAGGCACACCCGGAGAACUGAAACAUCUUAGUACCCGGAGGAAGAAAAAGAAAAUUCGAUUCCCUUAGUAGCGGCGAGCGAAACGGGAAGAGCCCAAACCAACAAGCUUGCUUGUUGGGGUUGUAGGACACUCUAUACGGAGUUACAAAGGACGACAUUAGACGAAUCAUCUGGAAAGAUGAAUCAAAGAAGGUAAUAAUCCUGUAGUCGAAAAUGUUGUCUCUCUUGAGUGGAUCCUGAGUACGACGGAACACGUGAAAUUCCGUCGGAAUCUGGGAGGACCAUCUCCUAAGGCUAAAUAUUCUCUAGUGACCGAUAGUGAACCAGUACCGUGAGGGAAAGGUGAAAAGCACCCCGGAAGGGGAGUGAAAUAGAACCUGAAACCGUGUGCUUACAAGUAGUCAGAGCCCGUUAAUGGGUGAUGGCGUGCCUUUUGUAGAAUGAACCGGCGAGUUACGAUUUGAUGCAAGGUUAAGCAGUAAAUGUGGAGCCGUAGCGAAAGCGAGUCUGAAUAGGGCGUUUAGUAUUUGGUCGUAGACCCGAAACCAGGUGAUCUACCCUUGGUCAGGUUGAAGUUCAGGUAACACUGAAUGGAGGACCGAACCGACUUACGUUGAAAAGUGAGCGGAUGAACUGAGGGUAGCGGAGAAAUUCCAAUCGAACCUGGAGAUAGCUGGUUCUCUCCGAAAUAGCUUUAGGGCUAGCCUCAAGUGAUGAUUAUUGGAGGUAGAGCACUGUUUGGACGAGGGGCCCCUCUCGGGUUACCGAAUUCAGACAAACUCCGAAUGCCAAUUAAUUUAACUUGGGAGUCAGAACAUGGGUGAUAAGGUCCGUGUUCGAAAGGGAAACAGCCCAGACCACCAGCUAAGGUCCCAAAAUAUAUGUUAAGUGGAAAAGGAUGUGGCGUUGCCCAGACAACUAGGAUGUUGGCUUAGAAGCAGCCAUCAUUUAAAGAGUGCGUAAUAGCUCACUAGUCGAGUGACACUGCGCCGAAAAUGUACCGGGGCUAAACAUAUUACCGAAGCUGUGGAUUGUCCUUUGGACAAUGGUAGGAGAGCGUUCUAAGGGCGUUGAAGCAUGAUCGUAAGGACAUGUGGAGCGCUUAGAAGUGAGAAUGCCGGUGUGAGUAGCGAAAGACGGGUGAGAAUCCCGUCCACCGAUUGACUAAGGUUUCCAGAGGAAGGCUCGUCCGCUCUGGGUUAGUCGGGUCCUAAGCUGAGGCCGACAGGCGUAGGCGAUGGAUAACAGGUUGAUAUUCCUGUACCACCUAUAAUCGUUUUAAUCGAUGGGGGGACGCAGUAGGAUAGGCGAAGCGUGCGAUUGGAUUGCACGUCUAAGCAGUAAGGCUGAGUAUUAGGCAAAUCCGGUACUCGUUAAGGCUGAGCUGUGAUGGGGAGAAGACAUUGAGUCUUCGAGUCGUUGAUUUCACACUGCCGAGAAAAGCCUCUAGAUAGAAAAUAGGUGCCCGUACCGCAAACCGACACAGGUAGUCAAGAUGAGAAUUCUAAGGUGAGCGAGCGAACUCUCGUUAAGGAACUCGGCAAAAUGACCCCGUAACUUCGGGAGAAGGGGUGCUCUUUAGGGUUAACGCCCAGAAGAGCCGCAGUGAAUAGGCCCAAGCGACUGUUUAUCAAAAACACAGGUCUCUGCUAAACCGUAAGGUGAUGUAUAGGGGCUGACGCCUGCCCGGUGCUGGAAGGUUAAGAGGAGUGGUUAGCUUCUGCGAAGCUACGAAUCGAAGCCCCAGUAAACGGCGGCCGUAACUAUAACGGUCCUAAGGUAGCGAAAUUCCUUGUCGGGUAAGUUCCGACCCGCACGAAAGGCGUAACGAUUUGGGCACUGUCUCAACGAGAGACUCGGUGAAAUCAUAGUACCUGUGAAGAUGCAGGUUACCCGCGACAGGACGGAAAGACCCCGUGGAGCUUUACUGUAGCCUGAUAUUGAAAUUCGGCACAGCUUGUACAGGAUAGGUAGGAGCCUUUGAAACGUGAGCGCUAGCUUACGUGGAGGCGCUGGUGGGAUACUACCCUAGCUGUGUUGGCUUUCUAACCCGCACCACUUAUCGUGGUGGGAGACAGUGUCAGGCGGGCAGUUUGACUGGGGCGGUCGCCUCCUAAAAGGUAACGGAGGCGCUCAAAGGUUCCCUCAGAAUGGUUGGAAAUCAUUCAUAGAGUGUAAAGGCAUAAGGGAGCUUGACUGCGAGACCUACAAGUCGAGCAGGGUCGAAAGACGGACUUAGUGAUCCGGUGGUUCCGCAUGGAAGGGCCAUCGCUCAACGGAUAAAAGCUACCCCGGGGAUAACAGGCUUAUCUCCCCCAAGAGUUCACAUCGACGGGGAGGUUUGGCACCUCGAUGUCGGCUCAUCGCAUCCUGGGGCUGUAGUCGGUCCCAAGGGUUGGGCUGUUCGCCCAUUAAAGCGGUACGCGAGCUGGGUUCAGAACGUCGUGAGACAGUUCGGUCCCUAUCCGUCGUGGGCGUAGGAAAUUUGAGAGGAGCUGUCCUUAGUACGAGAGGACCGGGAUGGACAUACCUCUGGUGUACCAGUUGUCGUGCCAACGGCAUAGCUGGGUAGCUAUGUGUGGACGGGAUAAGUGCUGAAAGCAUCUAAGCAUGAAGCCCCCCUCAAGAUGAGAUUUCCCAACUUCGGUUAUAAGAUCCCUCAAAGAUGAUGAGGUUAAUAGGUUCGAGGUGGAAGCAUGGUGACAUGUGGAGCUGACGAAUACUAAUCGAUCGAAGACUUAAUCAA